GAUUGCCUCAGUAACUGCGAGUGAAGCGGCAACAGCUCGUCUUGAAUCUCUCCUCUGGAGCGAAAUGUGAGUCACAGUCUUACGUAGGGGACGGCGCGCAACUCGGCUGGAACGCCGGACCACGGAGGGUGCUAGUCCCGUGCCGUGCCGUCCUUUGCGAUAGAAUGUGUUAAACGAGUCGGGCAGUUUGGGAUUGCUGUCCUAACGGGAGGUAGACUCCUUCCAAAGCUAAAUAUUGACAGGAGACCGAUAGCGCACAAGUACUGUGAAGGAAAGAUGAAAAGCACUUUGAAAAGAGAGUUAAAAGACUUGAAAUCGCUGAGGAGGAAGCAGUGCGUACAGCGCAGGAGCCAGUGCAAGGGGACUCACGAGUCCCUGGAAGCUGUCCCGCUGCAGAGUGCAGUAGCAAAGGCGUGAGGGUCUGAGUUGCGUGCUCGGAUAUCUGCGACUAGCUGCUGAAGGCGCUCCGGCGACUCUGCCGCUGUGCGCACUGACCCGUCUUGAAACACGGA
RNAcentral lists this ribosomal RNA (512 nucleotides) under Spirostomum subtilis. RNAcentral's name for it is "partial large subunit ribosomal RNA". It matches the Rfam family "Eukaryotic large subunit ribosomal RNA", at positions 73 to 665 of the family's 3401-position model. The record is from RNAcentral. Lineage: Eukaryota; Ciliophora; Heterotrichea; Heterotrichida; Spirostomidae.